AGAGACUGGGGUGCUGGGCUCCCCUAGACUAGGACUCCAGUGCCCUCUUCUCC
MicroRNA precursor from Aotus nancymaae (Ma's night monkey), 53 nucleotides. The record is from Ensembl. NCBI's taxonomy places the organism in Eukaryota, Metazoa, Chordata, Mammalia, Primates, Aotidae.